Molecule: long non-coding RNA, 200 nt
Filed under: Phoenix dactylifera (date palm)
Lineage: Eukaryota; Viridiplantae; Streptophyta; Magnoliopsida; Arecales; Arecaceae
Description: long non-coding RNA (PDAC_LNC013683)
Source: RNAcentral
UUGGACGAUUCAUGGACACAUAAGAACAUGAAUGAAAAGAAAGCCCAUCCUAAUAAAUUCAUUAUUAAGUCAAUUAUAAACUUAUAUCCCAGAACAAAAUAAUGCGUCAGCCAAAUUGGCUUCUAGGGCAUACUUCUAACAAUCUCCCACUUGCACUAAAGCCAAUCAACCAUAAAUCUAAGCCCCAUCCUCUCAAGAUG